AAAGAAACAAAAACGCGGAAAGGAGAGCCCAAAUCGUCUCCGUCUGUCAUUGUCGCAGUCUCUAAAAGAGAAAAACAAAUCGCAACGCUUCAAUAUCUCUCUCUCUCUCCCUAUCGUUUGAAUCAGUCUCCCAAGAUCCACCACCACACAUGCUACUAUGAGCCUCCGCCACCGCACCGUCCCCUCACAACCCGGACGGCCCCCGGCGGCGGGCGCAAUCGACGAGGAGCCCUACAACAUCAUCCCCGUCAACAACCUCCUCGCCGACCACCCCUCCCUCCGCUACCCCGAGGUCCGCGCCGCCGCCGCCGCCCUCAAAACCGUCGGCGACCUCCGCCGCCCCACCUACGUCCAAUGGCGCCCCCACUACGACCUCCUCGACUGGCUCGCCCUCUUCUUCGGCUUCCAGAAGGACAACGUCCGCAACCAGCGCGAGCACCUCGUCCUCCACCUCGCCAACGCCCAGAUGCGCCUCUCCCCGCCGCCGGACAACAUCGAUUCCCUCGAUCCCGCCGUCGUCCGCCGCUUCCGCCGCAAGCUCCUCGGUAACUACUCCAGCUGGUGCUCCUACCUCGGGAGGAAGUCCAACAUCUGGAUCUCGGAUCGGACCCCCGAUUCGCGGCGGGAGCUUCUCUACGUCGGCCUCUACCUCCUCGUGUGGGGCGAGGCGGCGAAUCUUAGGUUUAUGCCUGAGUGUAUCUGUUACAUCUUCCACAAUAUGGCCUCGGAGCUUAACAAGAUCUUAGAGGAUUGCCUCGACGAGAGCACGGGGCAGCCGUAUUCUCCUAAGAUCACGGGGGAGAAUAGUUUCCUAAACGGCGUCGUUAAGUCAGAACAAAAGGAAGAUUCCAUCUAAUGGAUUAUAAUCCCACAUGCCCAUUUUUAAAACUAGACAAAAUAACUUAUAAUAGUCCCAUAAGAGCAUUAAGACAAACUGAACCAAAAAGAAUCUUAAAUGCUGGUGAAUCUAGUCUCGAAUGCUGCUGAACACUCCUGAUAUUAGAAUUUGGCAGAAAAUAUUCAUACUAAUAACAGUAAAUACAUUUCAAAACAAGAAAAUAGUAGUAGUAAAUAAAAACAAUUAAUAUGUUAUUAUUGUUUCUCUUAGCUGUUACCAUUACAUUAACAAUUUACAUUCAAUCCUUUUAAUGAAAAAUAUUAUAAAAUAUUAAAAGAAGUUAUUAGAAAAGGAGAGGGAUAUGGGGGGGGGGAGAGCAUGGAGGGGUCCCAUGUGUGUUUCGAAAAGCAGCAAACAUGACUUUGUAAAGUCUUGUUUUAGCUAGAGUUCCAAAAAAAAAAGAGUUCAAAAAAAAAGAAAAAAAAAAGUCUUGUUUUAGCGUCCAAAGCGGUCUCACUCGCCGUUCAGCUGUUAAAUUUUCUUGAAAUAAAUCGCUCCACUUGUUUUUUAUUUUUGUUUCUUUCAACCCACUUGUAUUAAUAACAAUAAUGAUAUUGCUAAUCUUGAACAAAUCGUGGAUUGUCUUUUCUUCCAGUGAUAUCAUCCUUAGUCAAAACAUCUCAAAUUAAAUAAAUAUAUAGUUGUGAAUUAAAAAAAAAGGUAUAGAGUUUAUAAAAUUAGCAUUUGCGAAUGUUUUUAAAAGUUUGGCGUUUGUAUAGAUCACUGUCAGUGUCAUGAAUCAUUCGGUGACAGCAAAUUUGUAUAUGCCAAAAAAGAGAGUUGAUACUUGCCAUUCUCGAUAUUUUGAAUUUUUUUUCGUCGACAUACAAACUCAACAUUUUCGAAAUCUUAGAUUAAAAACAAAAUGGACAAAACGAUACUUAUUAAUGAAUUAUGUACUAGCGUCUAAACAUUAGUAACAUAGAUAUAAUUAUAAGAACAAGAAACAUAUAUGCACAAAGCCUCAAACCAAAUUUAAAUAGUGUUACGAAACAAGGGAUGUACUUGUUAUGAAAAAUUAAUGUAUAACCAUUCUUAGCAUUUUUUACCUAACCCUUAAACUUUAUAAAGAAAAAUAUGUAACAUUUCGGUGUGUGGUAUAUAAAAGUAUUUUGAAAAUCGAUUUGAUUAUUUCUAUUAUUAAAAUGUACUUACUUUUUUUAUCACACAUUUAUUUACAAUUUCAGAGUUAAACAUGAUUAAGACAAAGUAGUGAAAAUAUAGAUGAUCUACCAGAAAAUCAUUUGCUUUCUGAGUGAGAUCAAAAUAAAGGCAAAAAUAAUGUGAUGAUUGUAUAUUAAACAAUUAUUUUGAAUUUGAAAAGAAUAACUCAUCGAAUGAAGCCUAUGAACCGAGUAAGCGGUGAAGCGGUUGGACCGUCACAAAAAUUAUGACCAACAAGAAAAUAAAAUUGAUAUUAGUGAAUGAUAUAUUUUGGAAAGUAAUAAAUUGGUUCCAGAUUUCAAUACAUCAAUGUUUUUCUAAUGCUGACUUGCUUUUCCUCUUUUUCUUACAUGAUAAGGAAACGAGAGAGGUCGAAGAAACAAAGAAACUUCCUAAGCAUUUAGCAACGCAUCUUCAAAAAAUCUAGUAUUUACCAAGUAAAAUCAUACAAAAUAAGGAAAAAAAGAAGAAUAUAUUUCCCAAUUUGGUUUUCACCGGAAAAAAAAAACUGUCUUAACAAAAUCUUAAUGCACCAAAUCAUAUAAGAACUUUAUUUGACCAUUGUCAUUAGUUUUUUCCUUAUGGUAAUGGAUCUUCAAACAAUUUAAAUUAAAUUAAAAAAAAAAAGAAAAGAGAAACAAAAACGCGGAAAGGAGAGCCCAAAUCGUCUCCGUCUGUCAUUGUCGCAGUCUCUAAAAGAGAAAAACAAAUCGCAACGCUUCAAUAUCUCUCUCUCUCUCUCUCCCUAUCGUUUGAAUCAGUCUCUCAAGAUCCACCACCACACAUGCUACUAUGAGCCUCCGCCACCGCACCGUCCCCUCUCAACCCGGACGGCCCCCGGCGGCGGGCGCAAUCGAGGACGAGCCCUACAACAUCAUCCCCGUCAACAACCUCCUCGCCGACCACCCCUCCCUCCGCUACCCCGAGGUCCGCGCCGCCGCCGCCGCCCUCAAAACCGUCGGCGACCUCCGCCGCCCCACCUACGUCCAAUGGCGCCCCCACUACGACCUCCUCGACUGGCUCGCCCUCUUCUUCGGCUUCCAGAAGGACAACGUCCGCAACCAGCGCGAGCACCUCGUCCUCCAC
Molecule: long non-coding RNA, 3148 nt
Filed under: Brassica rapa (field mustard)
Lineage: Eukaryota; Viridiplantae; Streptophyta; Magnoliopsida; Brassicales; Brassicaceae
Description: long non-coding RNA (BRAP_LNC006257)
Source: RNAcentral